Molecule: ribosomal RNA, 157 nt
Filed under: Bacillota bacterium
Lineage: Bacteria; Bacillati; Bacillota
Description: partial 23S ribosomal RNA
Rfam family: Bacterial large subunit ribosomal RNA
Source: RNAcentral
GCUGAAAGCAUCUAAGCGUGAAACCAACCACAAGAUGAGACUUCUCAUUCGAAAGAAGUAAGAGCCCUCCAAAGUUAGGAGGUUGAUAGGUCAGAAGUGUAAGCACAGUAAUGUGUUCAGCUGACUGAUACUAAUAGCUCGAGGACUUAAUUUCACU